UGUCCUUUCUGAGAGCCACGAAUACCUUC
RNAcentral lists this non-coding RNA (29 nucleotides) under Homo sapiens (human). The record is from RNAcentral. Lineage: Eukaryota; Metazoa; Chordata; Mammalia; Primates; Hominidae.